This 1248-nucleotide ribosomal RNA is filed under the name metagenome. RNAcentral describes it as "bacterial SSU rRNA". It matches the Rfam family "Bacterial small subunit ribosomal RNA", at positions 15 to 1241 of the family's 1533-position model. The record is from RNAcentral.
GAUCCUGCCUCAGAACGAACGCUGGCGGCGUACAUAACACAUGCAAGUCGAACGAGAAAUUCCGAUUCGUCGGGAGAGUAAAGUGGCGAACGGGUGAGUAAUACAAGGGUAAUCUGCCCUUAAAUUAGGGAUAACCUUGCGAAAGCGUUGCUAAUACCUGAUAAGACUACGACCUCUUAGGGUUGUAGGAAAAGAUGGCCUCUGAUUCAAGCUAUCGUUUAAGGAUGAGCCCUUGCACUAUUAGCUUGUUGGUGGGGUAACGGCCUACCAAGGCUACGAUGGUUAGCUGGUCUGAGAGGAUGACCAGCCACACUGGAACUGAGACACGGUCCAGACUCCUACGGGAGGCAGCAGUGAGGAAUAUUGCGCAAUGGGGGAAACCCUGACGCAGUGACGCCGCGUGAGUGAUGAAGGCUUUCGAGUCGUAAAGCUCUGUUAGGUGGAAAGAAACAUUCCAACGCUAAUAUCGUUGGGACUUGACGGUACCACCAGAGGAAGCACCGGCUAACUCCGUGCCAGCAGCCGCGGUAAUACGGAGGGUGCAAGCGUUGUUCGGAAUUACUGGGCGUAAAGGGCGUGUAGGCGGUUAGGCAAGUCAGGUGUGAAAUCCCUUGGCUCAACCAAGGAAGUGCGCUUGAAACUGCUUAACUAGAGUACAGGAGGGGAAAGUGGAAUUCCCAGUGUAGAGGUGAAAUUCAUAGAUAUUGGGAGGAACACCGGUAGCGAAGGCGGCUUUCUGGCCUGAUACUGACGCUGAGACGCGAAAGCGGGGGAGCAAACAGGAUUAGAUACCCUGGUAGUCCACGCUGUAAACGAUGUGCACUAGGUGUAGGAAGUGUUGACCCUUUCUGUGCCGAAGCUAACGCAUUAAGUGCACCGCCUGGGGAGUACGGUCGCAAGGCUAAACUCAAAGGAAUUGACGGGGGCCCGCACAAGCGGUGGAGCAUGUGGUUUAAUUCGACGCUACGCGAAAAACCUUACCUGGGCUUGACAUGCUGGGAUUAAUCCUGGGAAACCAGGAGGAUUGCCGGGUGUAACCAGCACAGGUGCUGCAUGGCUGUCGUCAGCUCGUGUCGUGAGAUGUUGGGUUAAGUCCCGCAACGAGCGCAACCCUCGCUUUUAGUUGCCAGCAUUUAGUUGGGCACUCUAAAGGAACUGCCCCGGUUAACGGGGAGGAAGGUGGGGAUGACGUCAAGUCCUCAUGGCCUUUAUGCCCAGGGCUACACACGUGCUACAAUGGUCUGUACA